CCGCGUGAGUGAAGAAGGCCUUCGGGUUGUAAAGCUCUUUCGCAAGGGAAGAAACGAUACAGUCUAAUAAACUGUGUUAAUGACGGUACCUUGAUAAGAAGCACCGGCUAACUACGUGCCAGCAGCCGCGGUAAUACGUAGGGUGCGAGCGUUAAUCGGAAUUACUGGGCGUAAAGCGUGCGCAGGCGGUUUUGAAAGUCAGACGUGAAAUCCCCGGGCUCAACCUGGGAACUGCGUUUGAAACUCCAAAGCUAGAGUAUGGGAGAGGGGGGUAGAAUUCCACGUGUAGCAGUGAAAUGCGUAGAGAUGUGGAGGAAUACCAAUGGCGAAGGCAGCCCCCUGGCUUAAUACUGACGCUCAUGCACGAAAGCGUGGGGAGCAAACAGGAUUAGAUACCCUGGUAGUCCACGCCCUAAACGAUGUCUACUAGUUGUAGGGAAGAGUCAAAUCUCUUUAGUAACGCCAGCUAACGCGUGAAGUAGACCGCCUGAGGAGUACGGUCGCCAGA
RNAcentral lists this ribosomal RNA (508 nucleotides) under uncultured archaeon. RNAcentral describes it as "bacterial SSU rRNA". It matches the Rfam family "Bacterial small subunit ribosomal RNA", at positions 397 to 893 of the family's 1533-position model. The record is from RNAcentral.